GCGGUGAAAUGCGUAGAUAUCUGGAGGAACACCGGUGGCGAAGGCGGCAUCCUGGACCGGUAUUGACGCUGAGGCGCGAAAGCCAGGGGAGCAAACGGGAUUAGAUACCCCGGUAGUCCUGGCCCUAAACGAUGAAUGCUUGGUGUGGCGGGUAUCGAUCCCUGCCGUGCCGAAGCUAACGCAUUAAGCAUUCCGCCUGGGGAGUACGGUCGCAAGGCUGAAACUCAAAUGAAUUGACGG
RNAcentral lists this ribosomal RNA (240 nucleotides) under uncultured bacterium. RNAcentral describes it as "partial 16S ribosomal RNA". It matches the Rfam family "Bacterial small subunit ribosomal RNA", at positions 678 to 916 of the family's 1533-position model. The record is from RNAcentral.